AGAUGUGUAUAAGAGACAGCUAUUUAGGUAGUGCCUCGAGUAUGAGACUGAUGGGGGUAAAGCACUGUUAUGGCUAGGGGGUUAUUGCAACUUACCAACCCAUGGCAAACUAAGAAUACCAUCAAGUUGCUCCUCGGGAGACAGACAUCGGGUGCUAACGUCCGGUGUCAAGAGGGAAACAACCCAGACCGCCAGCUAAGGUCCCAAAUGAUAGAUUAAGUGGUAAACGAAGUGGGAAGGCACAGACAGCCAGGAUGUUGGCUUAGAAGCAGCCAUCAUUUAAAGAAAGCGUAAUAGCUCACUGGUCGAGUUUUCCUGCGCGGAAGAUGUAACGGGGCUCAAAUCUAUAACCGAAGCUGCGGAUAUACUUUUGUAUAUGGUAGGGGAGCGUUCUGUAAGCCUGUGAAGGUGACUUGUAAAGGUUGCUGGAGGUAUCAGAAGUGCGAAUGUUGACAUGAGUAGCGAUAAAGCGGGUGAAAAGCCCGCUCGCCGAAAGCCCAAGGUUUCCUACGCAACGUUCAUCGGCGUAGGGUGAGUCGGUCCCUAAGGCGAGGCAGAAAUGCGUAGUCGAUGGGAAACAGGUUAAUAUUCCUGUACUUUGAUUCAAUGCGAUGUGGGGACGGAGAAGGUUAGGUUAGCAAACUGUUGGAAUAGUUUGUUUAAGCCAGUAGGUGGAAAGAGUAGGCAAAUCCGCUCUUUCUUAACACCGAGACGUGAUGACGAGUGUCUACGGACAUGAAGUGACCAAUACCACGCUUCCAGGAAAAGCCACUAAGCUUCAGUUGAAUCAGAACCGUACCGCAAACCGACACAGGUGGGCAGGAUGAGAAUUCUAAGGCGCUUGAGAGAACUCGGGAGAAGGAACUCGGCAAAUUGAUACCGUAACUUCGGGAGAAGGUAUGCCCUCUAAUGUUAAGGACUUGCUCCGUAAGCAUCUGAGGGUCGCAGAGAAUCGGUGGCUGCGACUGUUUAUUAAAAACACAGCACUCUGCUAACACGAAAGUGGACGUAUAGGGUGUGACGCCUGCCCGGUGCUGGAAGGUUAAUUGAAGAUGUGCAAGCAUCGGAUCGAAGCCCCAGUAAACGGCGGCCGUAACUAUAACGGUCCUAAGGUAGCGAAAUUCCUUGUCGGGUAAGUUCCGACCCGCACGAAUGGCGUAACGAUGGCCACACUGUCUCCUCCCGAGACUCAGCGAAGUUGAAAUGGUUGUGAAGAUGCAAUCUCCCCGCUGCUAGACGGAAAGACCCCGUGAACCUUUACUGUAGCUUUGCAUUGGACUUUGAAGUCACUUGUGUAGGAUAGGUGGGAGGCUUUGAAGCAGAGACGCCAGUCUCUGUGGAGCCGUCCUUGAAAUACCACCCUGGUGACUUUGAGGUUCUAACCCAGACCCGUUAUCCGGGUCGGGGACCGUGCAUGGUAGGCAGUUUGACUGGGGCGGUCUCCUCCCAAAGAGUAACGGAGGAGUUCGAAGGUUACCUAGGUCCGGUCGGAAAUCGGACUGAUAGUGCAAUGGCAAAAGGUAGCUUAACUGCGAGACCGACAAGUCGAGCAGGUGCGAAAGCAGGACAUAGUGAUCCGGUGGUUCUGAAUGGAAGGGCCAUCGCUCAACGGAUAAAAGGUACUCCGGGGAUAACAGGCUGAUUCCGCCCAAGAGUCCAUAUCGACGGCGGAGUUUGGCACCUCGAUGUCGGCUCAUCACAUCCUGGGGCUGUAGUCGGUCCCAAGGGUAUGGCUGUUCGCCAUUUAAA
RNAcentral lists this ribosomal RNA (1749 nucleotides) under Kingella kingae. RNAcentral's name for it is "partial 23S ribosomal RNA". It matches the Rfam family "Bacterial large subunit ribosomal RNA", at positions 847 to 2592 of the family's 2925-position model. The record is from RNAcentral. Lineage: Bacteria; Pseudomonadati; Pseudomonadota; Betaproteobacteria; Neisseriales; Neisseriaceae.